AUCAAUAAGCGGAGGAAAAGAAACCAAUAGGGAUUGCCUCAGUAACGGCGAGUGAAGCGGCAACAGCUCAAAUUUGAAAUCUGGCCUCCUUUGGGGCCCGAGUUGUAAUUUGUAGAGGAUGCUUCGGCGUUGGCCCCGGCCUAAGUUCCUUGGAACAGGACGUCACAGAGGGUGAGAAUCCCGUAUGUGGCCGGUGUCCCUCGCCUUGUGAAGCUCCUUCGACGAGUCGAGUUGUUUGGGAAUGCAGCUCUAAAUGGGAGGUAAAUUUCUUCUAAAGCUAAAUACCGGCCAGAGACCGAUAGCGCACAAGUAGAGUGAUCGAAAGAUGAAAAGCACUUUGGAAAGAGAGUCAAAAAGUACGUGAAAUUGUUGAAAGGGAAGCGCUUGCAACCAGACCUGCCCGCGGUUGCUCAUCCAGGCUCCUGUCUGGUGCACUCUUCUGCGGUCAGGCCAGCAUCGGUUUGGGCGGUCGGACAAAGGCGGUGGGAAUGUGACUCCCCUCGGGGAGUGUUAUAGCCCGCCGUGCAAUGCGGCCAGCCCGGAUCGAGGUCCGCGCUUCGGCUAGGAUGCUGGCGUAAUGGUUGUAAGCGGCCCGUCUUGAAACACGGACCAAGGAGUCUAACAUCUGUGCGAGUGUUUGGGUGUUAAGCCCGGGCGCGCAAUGAAAGUGAACGGAGGCGGGAACCUUUGGGUGCACCGUCGACCGAUCCUGAUGUCUUCGGAUGGAUUUGAGUAAGAGCAUAGCUGUUGGGACCCGAAAGAUGGUGAACUAUGCCUGAAUAGGGUGAAGCCAGAGGAAACUCUGGUGGAGGCUCGCAGCGGUUCUGACGUGCAAAUCGAUCGUCAAAUUUGGGCAUAGGGGCGAAAGACUAAUCGAACUAUCUAGUAGCUGGUUCCUGCCGAAGUUUCCCUCAGGAUAGCAGUAACGUAUUCAGUUUUAUGAGGUAAAGCGAAUGAUUAGAGGCCUGGGGGUUGAAACAACCUUCACCUAUUCUCAAACUUUAAAUAUGUAAGAAGUCC
Molecule: ribosomal RNA, 1020 nt
Filed under: Hysterium vermiforme
Lineage: Eukaryota; Fungi; Ascomycota; Dothideomycetes; Hysteriales; Hysteriaceae
Description: eukaryotic LSU rRNA
Rfam family: Eukaryotic large subunit ribosomal RNA
Source: RNAcentral